AUUGAACGCUGGCGGCAGGCCUAACACAUGCAAGUCGAGCGGAUAAAGGGAGCUUGCUCCUGUCUUAAGCGGCGGACGGGUGAGUAAUGCCUAGGAAUCUGCCUGGUAGUGGGGGAUAACGUCCGUAAACGGGCGCUAAUACCGCAUACGUCCUGAGGGAGAAAGUGGGGGAUCUUCGGACCUCACGCUAUCAGAUGAGCCUCGGUCGGAUUAGCUAGUUGGUGGGGUAAAGGCCUACCAAGGCGACGAUCCGUAACUGGUCUGAGAGGAUGAUCAGUCACACUGGAACUGAGACACGGUCCAGACUCCUACGGGAGGCAGCAGUAGGGAAUAUUGGACAAUGGGCGAAAGCCUGAUCCAGCCAUGCCGCGUGUGUGAAGAAGGUCUUCGGAUUGUAAAGCACUUUAAGUUGGGAGGAAGAGCAGUAAGUUAAUACCUUGCUGUUUUGACGUUACCAACAGAAAAAGCACCGGCUAACUUCGUG
RNAcentral lists this ribosomal RNA (484 nucleotides) under uncultured bacterium. Its description in RNAcentral is "partial 16S ribosomal RNA". It matches the Rfam family "Bacterial small subunit ribosomal RNA", at positions 30 to 507 of the family's 1533-position model. The record is from RNAcentral.